CCUACGGGAGGCAGCAGUGAGGAAUAUUGGUCAAUGGACGAGAGUCUGAACCAGCCAUGUAGCGUGAAGGAUGACUGCCCUAUGGGUUGUAAACUUCUUUUAUAUGGGAAUAAAAUGUUCAACGUGUGGGAUUUUGUAUGUACCAUAUGAAAAAGGAUCGGCUAACUCCGUGCCAGCAGCGGCGGUAAUACGGAGGAUCCGAUCGUUAUCCGGAUUGAUUGGGUUUAAGGGGAGCGUAGGUGGAUUGUUAAGUCAGUUGUGAAAGUUUGCGGUCCAACCGUAAAAGUGCAGUUGAAACUGGCAUUCUUGAGUACAGUAGAGGUGGGCGGAAUUCGUGGUGUAGCGGUGAAAUGCUUAGAUAUCACGAAGAACUCCGAUUGCGAAGGCAGCUCACUGGACUGCAACUGACGCUGAGGCUCGAAAGUGUGGGUAUCAAACAGGAUUAGAUACCCUGGUAGUC
Molecule: ribosomal RNA, 460 nt
Filed under: uncultured bacterium
Lineage: Bacteria
Description: partial 16S ribosomal RNA
Rfam family: Bacterial small subunit ribosomal RNA
Source: RNAcentral